RNAcentral lists this ribosomal RNA (490 nucleotides) under uncultured bacterium. RNAcentral's name for it is "partial 16S ribosomal RNA". It matches the Rfam family "Bacterial small subunit ribosomal RNA", at positions 30 to 507 of the family's 1533-position model. The record is from RNAcentral.
AUUGAACGCUGGCGGCAUGCUUUACACAUGCAAGUCGGACGGCAGCACAGAGAAGCUUGCUUCUUGGGUGGCGAGUGGCGAACGGGUGAGUAAUAUAUCUGAACGUACCGAGUAAUGGGGGAUAACUAAUCGAAAGAUUAGCUAAUACCGCAUAUUCUCUGAGGAGGAAAGCAGGGGACCUUCGGGCCUUGCGUUAUUCGAGCGGCCGAUAUCUGAUUAGCUAGUUGGUGGGGUAAAGGCCUACCAAGGCGACGAUCAGUAGCGGGUCUGAGAGGAUGAUCCGCCACACUGGGACUGAGACACGGCCCAGACUCCUACGGGAGGCAGCAGUGGGGAAUUUUGGACAAUGGGCGCAAGCCUGAUCCAGCCAUGCCGCGUGUCUGAAGAAGGCCUUCGGGUUGUAAAGGACUUUUGUCAGGGAAGAAAAGGCUGUUGCUAAUAUCGACAGCUGAUGACGGUACCUGAAGAAUAAGCACCGGCUAACUACGUG